This 3181-nucleotide long non-coding RNA is filed under the name Eucalyptus grandis. RNAcentral's name for it is "long non-coding RNA (EGRA_LNC005802)". The record is from RNAcentral. Lineage: Eukaryota; Viridiplantae; Streptophyta; Magnoliopsida; Myrtales; Myrtaceae.
UCGGGUGGCUAACAUCAAAACCUGGUCCGAUCAAUUCACGCGGCUUGUGCACUUCCACCUGUCUAACUCUCAAUUUUUUCUCCAACUUUUUCUGUGCCCUCGCACGGUGGACACACGAACCCAGCAACAAAAGCCAAUUCGACGAGGACAAUUUGCCAAAAAUGGCCACGUCACUGAAUUCCGCUCUCCCGACGGCCCAGAAUCCGCCACGUCACCAGCUCCCCACCCCCCCGGGCGGAAAUCCUCCGCCAAUCCACGGUGCUCGAUUAAUCACCGCAGCAUGGGCCAGCGCUCAUUUCCGAAGUCCCCGUAGUGCCCCUACCUUCGUCACUUUAAUUAGGCGUUGGAAACGAUCCGUUUUGGUCAUUUCACCCUUCUCCACCUCCGCAGGCUCUUCCCGAAAAUGCCACUAAUCCGUCGCUCCGUAUCGUCUUCUCGUCUCGCUCUCGCUCUCUCUCUCUCUCUGCGCAACAAUGGCGACUGGUAUCUUGAAGCGAGCGAUCCUGAUCUCGAGGGGGCCCAUGUCGUCGGCGGCGCGCCUCCUCAUCGCCCGCCGCCAGGGGAGCGAGGCCCAGGCGCAGCCGGUCGAGCCCAAGGCCAAGCCCUCCACCAGCCUCAAGACCUUCUCGAUCUACCGGUGGACCCCCGACAGCCUCCUCAUCGUCGUCAUCAAUGUCACCAUAACCCCCGAUUGCACGAGCUUUGCAACAAAAACAAAGACCAAACUUGCAGUUCCACCUACUUCUGAAACAUGCGCUUCUUCACAGAGCCCAUUUCAAGUAAAAUGGAAACGCAAGUGAUGUGAACUUCACAAAAGGACAAAACAAAGCAAACAAAAGACAGCACCAACCGACCUAUUGGUGACAUUGAACCUCUCCUCGUCGUUCAAGUAAUCCUCGGCGUCCACGAAAUCCCCCCACUCCGGCUGCGCCUCCUCCCCGGGGGCCGGCUCCGCGGCGCGCACCACCUCCGGGUGGGCGUGCUCGAAGUACUCCCUCUCCCACUGCUUGUCCUCCCUGUGCCGCUCGAGCUCCGCCACGAGCGGAUCGAACGGGACCGGCUCGUGGUGGUGGCGGGCGGCGGCGGCGGGCGGCGGCGGCGGGGGGCUUGAAGGUGAAGUUGGACCGGAGCUUCAGGCGGCGGUGGUGGCCGCCGCGGCCAUGGCCGGCGGGGGACCGCGGGGAGCGCGAGACGAGGAGGAGGACGAGGACGGCAACGGCAAUGUAGAUGGCGACGGAGAGCUUGCCCAUCUAAAGGGGAAGCGCCGGGACCAUGCGGAGGAGAUCGGAGAUCGGCGGUCGGAGAUCGGCGGCGUCGGCGGCGGCGGCGAGGGUUUUGGAUCUGGAGAGAGACAGAAGGUGUUUGACGAAAUGGGGAAGUGAGGUUUGCCUUGGGGAGCGUGCGAUUUGCGCGUUUCUGGAGGUUUUUGCAGGAUGCCGCCGGGAUCACUCCUCCGCUCUAGAGAGAGAAAGUUUCGAGAAAGAGGAGAGAGAUCUGGAAAAUUUUCUGUUUUUUUUUUUGGUUCUUUAGUUCAUUUUUAGAGUUGCAUCUUAAUAUCUUAUAGAGAUUUAACCCGACAAAAGAAAAUCAAUAAAGUUAGUUGUUCUUUUGGAGAAAUAUUCGACAUAAAUUUUAAUGAAGUUGGAAAUUUCCUAGUUUUAAUCAUAUUCCAUUUCAUAGAUAUAGAAUCCUGUUUGUAAGGAGUUCCAAAGAUAAUUCGAAUCAAUUUUCAUUUUUUUUCAAAAUGAAAUAGAUUAGACCUUAUUAUUGUAAAACAGGAGAACGGAACAUAUUUUGUAAGUGUUUUCGAGAAUGAUUUUGUUACGAGCAAAACAUCGUAAUCAUGUUACAUUAGAAAAUCUACUUUAAUGGGGUUAUAUUUUUUAUUAUUUUGUGCAAUAGUCAAACAGUGAGCCAUCAUCUCAUCUAUAUUUCUUUUAAGGUGCCUGAUUUUUGGAUAGAUCCAGCUCACAUGUAUUGAUGUGUGUUGAUGAUCUCUUCUUUGGAGAUUAAGAUUGAAUACGUGAAUGUAUAAUAGCCAAAUCCGAUAGCUACGUGUAUAAAUUCAAAAUCAGAGAACACCACUCAUUUAGUAUUCUUGAGGUGCUUUUCUACAAAUAAAAUGUGCAUGCUGCACACAGCAUUCGCUCUUUUAGGCUCGAGCAUGGGACCUGUGCCGAUGAUGGCUUUGGUCUCUAUCAAGCCUUGGAGCGUGCUUCUUUAUGAGGUGUUAGGGAAAUUUCUACCAUCAAUUAACUAAUUACAUGUGCCUUCCUGCAUCACAAGUCACCACUAAAAUACAUGGUCAUAGGUCAUGUCUCGUGUUCUUAAAAGAAUGGGCCAAACAAGACUAGACAUAUAACCUAGAAUAAGCUUAUGAACCUUGUCCUAAGGACAAAAGAGUACGACCUAAUUAACUGGACCCGUGAAUUCAAUCUUUCGUUGUAAAGUAGGAUUCGCAACAUUCAUGGCCUCACAUGGGGAGGACCAUGGUCGACACGCGAACCCAGCAGCAGCAGCAAAAGCGAAUUCGACGACGACAAAAUUUGCCAAAAAUGGCCACGUCACUAAAUUCGGCCCCUCCGACGGUCCAGAAUCCGCCACGUCACCACCUCCCCCAGAAAUCCUCCGCCAAUCCACGGUGCUCGAUUAAUCACCGCACAACGGGCCAGCUCUCAUCCGCGAAAUCCCCGAACUGCCCCUACCAUCGCCCCCUUUAUCAGGCGUUCGAGCCGAUCCAUUUCGGUCAUUUCACCUUUCUCCUUCCUCGCAGGCUCUUCCUCGAAAAAGCCCACCAAUCCGUCGCCCUCUUUCGUCUUCUUCGUCUUCAGCUCUCCUUCUCCCUGCGCGCAGCAAUGGCGACCGGAAUCUUGAAGCGCGCGAUCGCGAUCUCGAGGGGGCCCACGCCGUCGCCGGCGGCGGCGGCGGCGGUGUCUUCGGCGGCGGCGCGCCUCCUCCUCGCCCGGUGCCACGCGAGCGAGGCCGAGGCGCAGCAGUCGAGCCCAAGGCCAAGCCUACCACCAGCCUCAAGACCUUCUCGAUCUACCGGUGGACCCCGGACAGCCCCUCGAAGCCGAAGCUCAAGGACUACCAGAUCGACCUCAAGGAGUGCGGGCCCAUGGUGCUCGACGCCCUCAUCAAGAUCAAGAACGAGAUCGACCCUUCCCUCACCUUCCGCCGC